This 499-nucleotide ribosomal RNA is filed under the name uncultured bacterium. Its description in RNAcentral is "partial 16S ribosomal RNA". It matches the Rfam family "Bacterial small subunit ribosomal RNA", at positions 899 to 1397 of the family's 1533-position model. The record is from RNAcentral.
ACUCAAAUGAAUUGACGGGGGCCCGCACAAGCGGUGGAUCAUGUGGUUUAAUUCGAAGCAACGCGAAAAACCUUACCUAGGUUUGACAUCCUCUGACAUCCGUAGAGAUACGGCUUCUCUAGCAAUAGAGCAGAGAGACAGGUGCUGCAUGGCUGUCGUCAGCUCGUGUGGUGACAUGUUGGGUUAAGUCCCGCAACGAGCGCAACCCCUGUCCUUAGUUGCCAGCAUUCAGUUGGGCUCUCUAAGGAGACUGCCGUGGUGAACACGGAGGAAGGUGGGGAUGACGUCAAGUCCUCAUGGCCUUUAUAUCUAGGGCGACACACGUGAUACAAUGGUUGGUACAGAGGGAAGCGAAGAGGCGACUCGGAGCUAAUCUCAAAAAGCCAAUCUCAGUUCGGAUUGGAGUCUGCAACUCGACUCCAUGAAGUUGGAAUCGCUAGUAAUCGCGGAUCAGCACGCCGCGGUGAAUACGUUCCCGGGCCUUGUACACACCGCCCGU